Molecule: ribosomal RNA, 324 nt
Filed under: uncultured bacterium
Lineage: Bacteria
Description: bacterial SSU rRNA
Rfam family: Bacterial small subunit ribosomal RNA
Source: RNAcentral
GAUGAACGCUGGCGGCGUGCUUAACACAUGCAAGUCGAACGAAGCACUUGAGAUUGAAUCUUCGGAUGAGAACUCUUGUGACUGAGUGGCGGACGGGUGAGUAACGCGUGGGUAACCUACCUCAUACAGGGGGAUAACAGUUGGAAACGACCGCUAAUACCGCAUAACCCGCUAGUAUCGCAUGAUACGGACGGAAAAGAUUUAUCGGUAUGAGAUGGACCCGCGUCUGAUUAGCCAGUUGGCAGGGUAACGGCCUACCAAAGCAACGAUCAGUAGCCGGCCUGAGAGGGUGAACGGCCACAUUGGGACUGAGACACGGCCCAA